UGCUUCUUCUCAGCGUGAGAAUUCAGCGGCAAGCGAUAUGACUCAUUGCCCUUAUUUUUGGUCCUAAAUAAUUAAUUUAAAAUCAUAGCAGUAAUUACGGAAAUAAUUAUUCGCAUUCAAUCCCUUCAAGGAUCCGGUUCGGUUUGCUGCGUCGGCCAUCCGGUUCGGUUUGGAUUUAUUAAUUUUGCUAGGGCUUCUGAUUUUAAAAUGUUCGGUUUGGGUGAAAUUGCUGUGGUAUAUAUGAGGAGCUCCUGCAUCGCCGCCAUAACUAAGGAUAACAUUUUGAUCUUUUUAUCGUCCAUGGAUCCUCUUGCUUUGCUUUGUAGUCUUUAUAUGUUUGUUCGAUUAGAUUAAGGUUUUUUGCCGUUUGUGUAGUGUUAUUGCUUGAAUUGAUUACAGUCUUUUCUGAGUUAGGAUUAGAUAACUUAUGGUGCAAAGAGAGAGGGAGAGCAAAUGAUGGGAUACACUUGAUCUCUGAACUUCACAGGUAAGUUCGCUUGUUGAUAACUACUGGUCUGCUGAUGCUCUCUUUCUCACACUCUCUGCUCCUGAUUGGGAUUUUUAUUAAUGAGAUUUGAUUAUGUAAGACGUUACUGUGAUUAAGUGUAGUAGAAUUUGAUGUGUAGUUUAAACAUUAGUAAUGAUUGAUUUUAUUAUAUAUGAAGUUAAUCAUAAUGCCUUGGAACAUGAUCUUUAGAAAAUGCAUCAAUAAUGUUUGGAUGAAAUGCUUAAUCCAUCUACCCCGCAAAGCUAAGGAUAAUGACCGGAUGGGUAAGUCGUUCUGAAGAUUGUUUGACUAGUCAUCUUUGUGAGUCUCUUUUACUGGUUCAAGGAAUCAGUUAGAAAGAGAUGAGCAAGGGAGUAGGAUGAUUAAGAAUAAUAAAUUGACUCAAAAUAAUCAAACAAUGAGAUAGUUUACCUGGUUGUAUCAUUUCCAUAAUUGUAGUUAGAUAGGAAAGGCGUUGGUCAUCAGAAGGUACAAGCACCUUUGUCUGCUCGUCAUCCUCAAUAGAGAAAAAGGAGGGCUUAAACUUGUAGAAGUCUUGGGACCAACAUUUGGCCGUCUCAAAAACUCCCCAACUGUCAGCUUCCAUGUCGUACACAUGAAGCUCAAUGUCACUAGAACGUAUCAUUUUCUCCCUCACCACUAGACACUUGCCGUCAUAUGCAACCACGUUCCAACAUUCAAGAUCUGAUUCCUCCAUUGAUACGUUCUUGAACUGGCUUGCGAGUGUCCACUUGUGAUACCCGAGUAGUGUGUAAACUGAGAUUGCUUUUUUCGUCCCUGAUAUCAAUGUCAGGAGAUUGGUCUCAUCGUUUGCUGCGAAAAGCACCUUCGUAUCCGGUGUUGGAUGGAAGCUACAAGGAAUCAGUCGUGCUUGCUCUGUCUCGGGAUUGAACGCUAUGAUGCUCCAGUCGUUUCUCAACCAGUGAAGAUUGCCAUCUACGUAAACAGGUUUCAUCCGCUUCUUGAGACCACUUUUGGAGCUGGUCGUGAGGGUCGUUUUCGAUAACCUCCAAGAAUCUCCGUCGCUGAUUUCAAAUCUGUACUUUGUUUCCAUCUCAAGUAUGCAGACGAUCUUGAAUAUCUUGGUGAUUCAACAUUGAUCUACCACGAAACCGACGCACAUCGCUCUCUCUGUACGAACAAGGGGACCAUCGGGGUCAUAAGGAUCAGCCUUUUCGACACCACCAACUAUGUGAGGCAGAAGCUUCGACCCAGAGUGAUCCACGAUUCGAAAUUUCUUUGUCAAGGGAUUUACGAUGAAGAAGUGACCAAUGUAUAGUAGGAGAAGGCCGGAGCAUGAGCCGAAAAUGUAACAUCGAUCGUUAAUGAACUCUGCUUUGUUUCCUAGUGACAUAUAAUCACAUGAAUAGACCAAAGGUUGGCAGAAGAUGAGAGAUUUGUUAGAGCUCCAAAUGUUAAUCAAAGUGGGUCUGACCCACGAAGGAUACUGAGGUCCAAAUCUUGGGUCAGUUAAAUACGAUUUGAAAGAUUUGUUUGUACAUCGUAUCAUUGCCAUAGCUUGGGGUUCUGAUCUGAAGAGAAUCAUGUCGAGAAGAUCCAAAGGUAAAUCAUCCAGGAGGAUCAUAGUUAUAUCAACGUGAGAACUUCCCCCUACGUCUGUUUUUGCUUGUCGUUGAUACGAAUAUAUUUGUUUGUUUCACUUGUUUACAGAUGAUGUUGUUAUAUAGAGAGGACAAAUUCUAACUUGAAAAAAAUAAAUAUGGAAUGAUCAAUGCAAGGAAAAUCUCACCAAUUUUAUUUAUUAAAUUUUGAUGGAUUUGAUGUAUCAAUUAGAUGACCCAAA
Long non-coding RNA from Arabidopsis thaliana (thale cress), 2312 nucleotides. RefSeq annotates it as other RNA. The record is from RefSeq. The transcript has a single exon. Lineage: Eukaryota; Viridiplantae; Streptophyta; Magnoliopsida; Brassicales; Brassicaceae.